CCCUUAGAUGUCCUGGGCCGCACGCGCGUUACACUGAUGCAUUCAACGAGCUUAUAACCUUGGCCGAGAGGCCUGGGCAAUCUUGUUAACGUGCAUCGUGAUAGGGAUAGAUUAUUGAAAUUAUUAAUCUUGAACGCGGAAUUCCUAGUAAACGCAGAUCAUCAAUCUGCAUUGAUUACGUCCCUGCCCUUUGUACACACCGCCCGUCGCACCUACCGAUUGGAUGGUCCGGUGAAGCCUCGGGAUUGUGGUUCUUGCCGCUUUAUUGUGGCGUGACCGCGAGAACUUGUCUAAACCUUAUCAUCUAGAGGAAGGUGAAGUCGUAACA
Molecule: ribosomal RNA, 328 nt
Filed under: uncultured eukaryote
Lineage: Eukaryota
Description: partial 18S ribosomal RNA
Rfam family: Eukaryotic small subunit ribosomal RNA
Source: RNAcentral